AUCGCUUCUCGGCCUUUUGGCUAAGAUCAAGUGUAGCAUAAUUACUUUUUCUACUUACUGUAAGAUUAUAUAAAUUUAUUUUAUGUUACAGCUCAUAUCUACAGAGAAAAUGUACCAUCA
RNAcentral lists this small nuclear RNA (120 nucleotides) under Fukomys damarensis (Damara mole-rat). Its description in RNAcentral is "U2 spliceosomal RNA". It matches the Rfam family "U2 spliceosomal RNA". Rfam says of the family: U2 is a small nuclear RNA (snRNA) component of the spliceosome (involved in pre-mRNA splicing). The record is from Rfam by way of RNAcentral. Lineage: Eukaryota; Metazoa; Chordata; Mammalia; Rodentia; Bathyergidae.